This 201-nucleotide unclassified non-coding RNA is filed under the name plant metagenome. RNAcentral describes it as "partial contains small subunit ribosomal RNA, internal transcribed spacer 1, and 5.8S ribosomal RNA". The record is from RNAcentral.
UCUCCGUUGGUGAACCAGCGGAGGGAUCAUUAUCGAGUUUAUAACUCCCAAACCCUAUGUGAACUUACCACUUGUUGCUUCGGCGCGCGCUUCGGCGCCGCCGAGGACACUUAAACUCUUUGUUUUUAUAAGCAUUUCUGAGUGGCCGAAAGGCAAAAUACAAAUGAAUCAAAACUUUCAACAACGGAUUUCUUGGUUCUG